Transfer RNA from Firmicutes bacterium CAG:791, 74 nucleotides. It matches the Rfam family "tRNA". From Rfam's summary of the family: Transfer RNA (tRNA) molecules are approximately 80 nucleotides in length. NCBI's taxonomy places the organism in Bacteria, Bacillati, Bacillota. The record is from Rfam.
GUGUCCGUAGCUCAGCUGGAUAGAGCAUCGGCCUUCUAAGCCGAGGGUCUGGGGUUCGAAUCCCCACGGGCACA